This 468-nucleotide ribosomal RNA is filed under the name uncultured bacterium. RNAcentral's name for it is "partial 16S ribosomal RNA". The stretch from base 58 to 468 matches the Rfam family "Bacterial small subunit ribosomal RNA", at positions 39 to 507 of the family's 1533-position model. The record is from RNAcentral.
GGGGGGGGGGGGGGGGGGGGGGGGGGGGGGGGGGGGGGGGGGGGGGGGGGGGGGGGGGGGGGGGGCUCGGGGGGCGGGCGGGUGGGGAACACGUGGGUAGCCGGCCCGUGACGGUGGGAUGACUUGAGGGAACUGGGGCGAAUGCCGGAUAGGAGCUCCUGCUGCAUGGUGGGGGUUGGAAAGUUUCGGCGGUUGGGGAUGGACUCGCGGCUUAUCAGCUUGUUGGUGGGGUAGUGGCUUACCAAAGCUGUGAGGGGUAGCCGGCCUGAGAGGGUGACCGGCCACAUUGGGACUGAGAUACGGCCCAGACUCCUACGGGAGGCAGCAGUGGGGAAUAUUGCACAAUGGGCGGAAGCCUGAUGCAGCAACGCCGCGUGCGGGAUGACGGCCUUCGGGUUGUAAACCGCUUUCGCCUGUGACGAAGCGUGAGUGACGGUAAUGGGUAAAGAAGCACCGGCUAACUACGUG